UAUGCAAAUUAUUAACCGAAA
RNAcentral lists this non-coding RNA (21 nucleotides) under Caenorhabditis elegans. Lineage: Eukaryota; Metazoa; Nematoda; Chromadorea; Rhabditida; Rhabditidae. The record is from RNAcentral.